GCUUUUGGGCCCAUACCCCAACAAUGUCGGCUAAAAUCCCUCCUCUACUA
Molecule: transfer RNA, 50 nt
Filed under: Odorrana huanggangensis
Lineage: Eukaryota; Metazoa; Chordata; Amphibia; Anura; Ranidae
Description: partial tRNA-Met
Source: RNAcentral